AGUGAACGCUGGCGGCAUGCCUAACACAUGCAAGUCGAACGGCAGCACAGUAAGAGCUUGCUCUGACGGGGGGCGAGUGGCGGACGUGACAGGAAAAUAUCGGAACCUACUUUUUCGUGUGGGUUAACGUAGGGAAACUUACUCCAAUACCGCAUACGACCUACGGUUGAAAGCAGUGGAUAUUUGGACCUGGCGCGAUUGAAUGAGCCGCUGUCGGAUUAGCUAGUGGGCGGGUGAAAUGCCCACCAAGGCGACGAUCCGUAGCUGGUCUGAGAGGAUGAUCAGCGACACUGGAACUGGAACAGGGUCCAGACUCCUACGGGAGGCAGCAGUGGGCAAUGGUGGACAAUGGGCGCAAACCUGAUCCAGCCGUACCACGUGGGUGGAGGAGGCCUUCGGUUUGUAAAGACCUUUUGUUGGGAAUGAAAAGCAGCAGGUUAAUACCCCGCUGUUGUGACGGUAACCGAUGAAUAAGCACCGGCUAACUUCGUG
RNAcentral lists this ribosomal RNA (492 nucleotides) under uncultured bacterium. RNAcentral's name for it is "partial 16S ribosomal RNA". It matches the Rfam family "Bacterial small subunit ribosomal RNA", at positions 29 to 507 of the family's 1533-position model. The record is from RNAcentral.